AGCACCGCCGCGGUAAUACAGAGGGUGCGAGCGUUAAUCGGAUUUACUGGGCGUAAAGCGUGCGUAGGCGGCUUUUUAAGUCGGAUGUGAAAUCCCUGAGCUUAACUUAGGAAUUGCAUUCGAUACUGGGAAGCUAGAGUAUGGGAGAGGAUGGUAGAAUUCCAGGUGUAGCGGUGAAAUGCGUAGAGAUCUGGAGGAAUACCGAUGGCGAAGGCAGCCAUCUGGCCUAAUACUGACGCUGAGGUACGAAAGCAUGGGGAGCAAACAGGAUUAGAGACCCCAGUAGUCCCUGUCUCUUAUACA
Molecule: ribosomal RNA, 303 nt
Filed under: uncultured bacterium
Lineage: Bacteria
Description: partial 16S ribosomal RNA
Rfam family: Bacterial small subunit ribosomal RNA
Source: RNAcentral